Molecule: ribosomal RNA, 288 nt
Filed under: uncultured bacterium
Lineage: Bacteria
Description: partial 16S ribosomal RNA
Rfam family: Bacterial small subunit ribosomal RNA
Source: RNAcentral
GGAUUAGAUACCCUGGUAGUCCACGCCCUAAACGAUGAACACUCGCUGUUGGCGAUACACAGUCAGCGGCUAAGCGAAAGCGUUAAGUGUUCCACCUGGGGAGUACGCCCGCAAGGGUGAAACUCAAAGGAAUUGACGGGGGCCCGCACAAGCGGAGGAGCAUGUGGUUUAAUUCGAUGAUACGCGAGGAACCUUACCCGGGCUUGAAAGUUAGUGAAUUAUCUAGAGAUAGAUAAGUGAGCAAUCACACGAAACUAGGUGCUGCAUGGCUGUCGUCAGCUCGUGCCG